RNAcentral lists this long non-coding RNA (13026 nucleotides) under Malus domestica (apple). RNAcentral's name for it is "long non-coding RNA (MDOM_LNC003569)". The record is from RNAcentral. Lineage: Eukaryota; Viridiplantae; Streptophyta; Magnoliopsida; Rosales; Rosaceae.
CGAUCUACAACUAAAACGAUAUGUAUAGAACAGGCUACAAACAAAGGUGUCAUCUAGGUGUAUCUAAAACCAGACUCAAAAACAGAAGGGGGAGGAGGAGGAGGGGGAGGAAGGGAAGGGAGGGUAAGUCCUAACUAGAGGCGACUGUGCAAUUACAAUUUUUGAACAAUGCUUCAUCCGUCUUUAAUUUUUGGCAGACCCGAUAACAUUUCAAUCCUUCGUUACAGAUUGGUUGACCUCUGAUGUAUUUAUCUUUCUGGCUUGGCGAAGGCACGGAUCCUCCUACUUUCAACUCCCCACUUUGUUGUUGCUGCUGCUGUUGCUGUUGCGGAUGCUGGUGAUGUAUUAUCUUUCUGUAUGUUUAUUGCCCUGUCACUGUCUUUUCCAAUUGAUGGUGUUCAUGUUACAUUGCCAUUCAUGAUGAUGAUUUAAUUGUUUCUCGAUUUGCAAUAAGGGGGAUAACUAGUGGCAAGUCACAAUCAUGCAUCCCUUCCAGAAGCAAGGAAGACUCACAGAAGCAUUUCAGCCUCCCAUGGCCACAAGUCUGGCUUCCACACUAGCAGCAAGUUUCGAACCCAUGACCUUUAGCUUUUAGUUUGAAGGAAUUCGAGCUCAAAUUUUGUGAGCACUACAUUGGAUUGUAUGGCACUUGGUUAGAUGUUAUUUUGGUCGACAAUGCAAAGAUUGGAGAAACAAAGAGGAGGGCACAUAUAACUGCCCCUUCCCAUUGACCUUCUCAAAUUUGGAUCACUUAAGCAUUGGAUUGUAUUCAUUCUUCAUGUUAACUUUGUUCUGCAGGCUUCCUUCCUAUGGAUAACUUAAGCAUUUAAGUUAUUCAUUUUUUUUAAAGAUAUUUAUGUUGGUUAUUUUAAUUAUUUUAAUAAUAUUUUAUUUUUAAAGAUUCAAAAUUUAUUAUUAUUUUAUUUUAUUUAUUUAUAAUAUUUAAGAGUUGUGUUUUAUUUGAAGUGUCAUAUUCCUUUUAAAAGGGUAUGAGAAGUUCUUUAAAUAAGAAACCUCAGACAGAAAACAUAAUACGCUAAACUUUUCUGUCUUCCUCAAUUCUCACAUCUCUCUCAGUCUAUGUACAUUUCUACUUCAUAAUUCUUGGGCAAUUGAUCACUACUUGGCAAUCUCGUUUGCCGUUGACGUGCAUAUCGGAUCAGCGUCUGCCGUUGACGUGCAUAUCGGAUCAGACAUCCUGUGAGGCUUUGGGUUGUAUCUUGAAGUUGUAGGCAUCGCCAUAACCUGCACGUAAUGAGGCGUCUACGGCUUUAGGGCAACGACAUCCGGCUCUCUUUGGUUCACAGGCCAGAUUUUCUUAUUCCUUAUUCCUAAUUUAAUUUUCAUAAGUUUGAUAAUGAUUAUACAUUUGAUUUGAUAUAUUUGAUCAUAUAAAUAAUUGGUAUAUUUCUGCAAUAUAUUUCACAAUUUAGCUAUUUAAGUCAUUCUUUUUUUGCCUGAACCAGAUUUCAAAUUCGAAUUCUGAUACCUAUUAUACAUGGCCCCAUAUGGUGUGAAGAGAAUGAGCAUAUAUGCAAGUCCUCCUCUUGUGGACCCGUAAAGGAUGGAAGCUUGUGCGAGUUGUUGCUAUAAAAUGGGAAGCCCUACUGCUUAGUCACCACCCAUCUUCUCCAAGAGAAAAGAAGAGAAAAAAAACAAGAGCCAGUAAGGCUCCCCACGCAUCAUUCUUUUUUUAGUAACAUUAAUAUUUGCAUUUGGUUGUCUUUACCAAGUAAUUCAGAGACAUGGGAUCGGAGAGCUCUCAGCCGUCUUCUCCUCCUCCUCCUCCUCCUCCUCCUCCUCAUCCUCCUCCUCCUCCUCCUCAACCACGUGGAGGUAAAGAACCAGCCAUAGACUAUCAGGUGGAUAUUAAUUCGACAUCGAUGCUCUACACAGUAAAAGGCUUCCCAUAGGCAAAUGGUGAAGUGGUUCAUACAUAGGACAUCUUAUAUAUCGCGGUCUGCUGUCAACUAAUAACAUCAAUAUUAUUAUUAUGUAUAACAAUUAAGCUCUUCCAUUAAAGUUCUAUAUAUGUACUUCCAGAAUCGAGAGCUUUGUUAUGUCUGUCCCCUAGCAGACCUGGUAUGUAUUUGUAAUUUUAGUGAAUUUUAAUUUUAUUGUGUGUAUAUAUAUAUUGAGCUCUUAAGAAGAUGAAAAAUCGAUAACUCACUAGAUUUACUGUAUUAUUGAAACAAGAAAUAACCGUCAACUUUAAAAUCUUGCAUGGAGAGAGAGUACCGGCUGUCGCGUGUGCGUUUCAGCGUUUACUCGUGUAUUUUGGUUUCCGAUCUUGCCCCUACCCAUCUCUCUCCAGUCUCCACCAAGCUUUUUGCCAUUUUCAAUUCAUUUUUUUUCUUCAUGCAAACUAAAGCCAAUAUUUACAGUAACUAUUUUACGCUUGCUCAGGAGUUGGUAAGUUGCACCGGGAAUAGAAUACAACUCGUUUGAUAAUUAUUUUAAAGCAAGGCUCAUUUAGUAAUUAUUUUGUUUUAGGUUUUAGUUAUAAACUUUUACUUUUCGUGCUUAAGAAAUAAAAUGUGUAUUGAUGAAAAAGGGUGGUGAGAGCAACGGUGGGAAGAGAUAUAUAUAAAAAAAAAGAAUGAAUAAAAACAAAUUCAAGAUUUUGUAAAGAACUUAAAAAUAGUUUUUUAUUUUUUGUUUCAGUUUUCAAUUUCUUCACCUUUUCUUAUAUAUUUUUUUUCUACGUCUACCAUCACCAUCCUUCCUCAAGUUUGGUGCCUACAAUCGAAGAUUUGCAGUCUUAUAAAUAUUCUUUUUCACGGCUAAUUCAUCUUUUACCCUUAAUAUUUACGAAAUUUAAAAUUAUCCUAUAUUUCUGCAAUUAAAAUUUAAAAAUUAUCCAAUACAAUCCAAUCUUGAGUACAAAAACGAUUAUGCGUUUCAUUGACAAAGUCCAUUUGACGUCAGGUGAAAUCAUGAUGCUAUAUUGUGUGGGGGUUUUUUAUCACUCUCAAUUGCAUCGUAAUUGAGUGGCAGGCAAUAUCGUUUUGGGAUUAUAAGGAAUAUAUGCUGCAAGGAGUUGACGUGACAAGCAAGCAAUUUAGUGAGUGGUGCUAAAUCAUCAAGAAUAAAAGUUAACAGACUUAAGUAUAGUUUGGCAUUGAGUUGCUUAAAAAAAAAGCUGCUUAUUUUCAAAGUUUUUACGUUGAAGGUGUUUGGUAAACUAUAAAAAAAAAAUUAUUUUAGAAGUUGUUGUGAGAAUAAGCUAAAAUCUUCAAAAAGGCUGAAGCAGCUAAAUGCUGCAUUGGAAAACUGAUUUUUUUUCAAAGCGCGUGGAGCUACAGUGCUUUUAAAGUUCAAUAACAUCCUCAAACCAGAAAUGGUGCUCCUUUGCCGAUCUCCACAAAACCCAGAAACCCACCAGAAACAACUUUGCUGAUCUGCACAAGAAAUGGAAACACACCCAGAAACCCACCAGACUACCAUAGCCAAAACCAGAAACGAUUUUCCUUUGCCGAUCUGUGUGCUAAACUAGCCUUAACUUUCUAGGACAUUGGAUACAAACAUCAAAACCCAAAAGCCAAAAAUUGAAUAAAUAUCAGCUUUAAGAUUUCACCGCCAUCAAUUCUAUAAUUUGAUUAAACACAAUUCCAGAAAAAUAAACAAUCUGAGCCACUAAAAGCUUGAAACUUUAUCGAUUUUGGAAAGUCGAAAAGAAAUCGUGGGCAAUUUGGGUUAAAAACUAAAUACCUCUGGUUCUCCGAAGGUCCGGACUGAAACUAUGGCCAUUGGGCGUCGGUGAAGAGAGACGGAGAAAGGGAGGGACUACAGAGAGGAGUGUUUUCUGUUGUCGAGGAUUACAGACAGGAAUUAGGAAGGAAGGUGGUGGGAGGAAGAAGGGUUUAGAGUUAAAAUGGGUUUUGAUGCCACUUAACAAAGGUGUUUUCUUAAUUAUUGAUUUAUUAAAUAAUAAACUAAAUUUAAAAAUCUGAUUAAUUCAAAUGAUAUGGCUGUCCACAUCAUAUGCCACCUAAGGUGGUAUAGAAAUGUGGUAUAAAAACAUGGUAUGAAUAGCAUUACUCAAAAAAAAUAGGAGACUUCUAGAGAGACUAUUAAUAAAUAAAAGACAUGGAUUAUUAAUAAAUGAAGAUGGAUAAAAGGAAGAUAGGGCUGGUUUAUUAUUUUACAUUUAACAUUAUACUCAUUUUAUAGUUUUUUUGUCAUUUCACACAGUCACAACUGUUUUAUAUAAAAGUUUACCAAACACUACCAUACUGCUUUUUUUUUUCCAAAAGAACUUUUACAAAAAAAAAUUUACCAAACACUCUGCUACUUUAUUUCACAGCAGCUUAUUCUCAUAGCACAGCAGAAACAACUUAUUCUCAUAACACAGCAGAAACAGCUUAUUAUCAUAGCACAACAGAACAGUUGUUUUUCAAAGCACAGCAGAAACAAUUUUUUUUAAAGCACAGCAAUAUCAAACCAGCCCUGAGAGACUAAUCCCAAAAACACAUUUAAUUUUCAGAUAACAAAUUUUCAUAAUCUAAAUCCACCAUAAUUACCAGUAACAAAACACAAAUCACAAGGUGCUACAACCAUACGGUACUCGACAGAAAAUUAACCCCAUCAUUCGAUCUACAACUAAAACGAUAUGUACAGAACAGGCUACAAACAAAGGUGUCAUCUAGGUGUAUCUAACCAGACUCAAAAACAGAAGGGGGAGGAGGAGGAGGGGGAGGAAGGGAAGGGAGGGUAAGUACCCUAACUGGAGGCGGCUGUGCAACUACAAUUAUUGAACAAUGCCUCACAUCCGUCUUUAAUUUUUGGCAGACCCGAUAACAUUUCAAUCCUUCGUUACAGAUUGGUUGACCUCUGAUGUAUUAUCUUUCUUGUUAGAUGCAAUUAGCCAAGAUCAAGAUUUAAGCUACAUAAAACACAAUCAAGAAAGCAUAAAAUCUUUUGAAUAUGAACUGAUGUAUUCACACUAACAUGAUGAACCUCCAUUCGAAUAUGCCAUUGCAGCAGCUGUCCAAUUCUGUAUGCUGCAACUCUUCUCCUCUCUGGUAGAACUCUUAAUGCUCUAACUAAGAAUAGGACUUAGUUCUUUUCUGAGCGUGUCUAUGAGAGCAGAGAUCACAGCAUAUAUAUAAAUACAUAUACUUCUCCUAAACCAAUGAGGAUUUCCUAUUACAAUCCGAUUAGGAAACAACUCAUGUUUCCCAGUGUAUGUUGGUUCUUCUCCAUGACAGAUUCCUCUAUCAACAAGAACUCACAUUCAUCUUCCUAUAAGGCUUUCUUAUACUAAUUGGACCAAACAACUGACACUUGUUCACCGUAUACUCAUGUUCAUAUCUUUACAUUCUCCCACUUGAACAUGAGACAUGAACAAGCACAGUCUUUACCAAUUAUAAGAAGUGAUCACACAGCCUUAUUCAAGAUUUUAUCAUCAUGACCAACAUCCCAUUGCAUUUCAAAAUACAGAAACCAAGAAUCUCAGAUUACUAUCAAAACAAUCAUCGAUUCAAGACUCACAUGUAUCCAAUCUGCAAUUAUGACACAUGAUUAACAACACUAAUUCAGAACAUGCUCCCACUUUUCAAAAGAUCUCAAUCUAUAUCAAUCUUCAAUGAAAAACAGCAUUUCAUUAACUGAAUAAAAUUCAUGAAACAUAUAAACUUUUAAAACAAACAAAUUGUCCUUGCAAAGUACCAUAUGAAUCCAACAAGUCUAUUAUCAAAACCACAAUACUCCAAAACGGAAACUUUAGGUUUCGAAGCAAAGACUCUUAUUAAAACAUAAAACAAACUAACUAAACAUAACUAAGUAAGCUAGCUCAGACUAAAAUGUAAACAAGGUCCCAAAUUGAAUUACUCACAUAGCAGCAACCUUCAAACUUUCUGAAACAGAUCAAUUACUCCCACUGAUCUAGAGUUUCUAACACUCCCAUCCGAGAUACAUGUUUCUGAAACUCUCCAAUAGGCAGUGCUUUAGUCAGAGGAUCUGCCACCAUCAAAACAGUGCUGAUGUGCUGAACUUCAAUCAUCCCCUUCUUCACUUCCUCUCUUACUUUAAGAAAUUUUACAUCCAUUAACCUUGAGGCAGAAGUUCUUCUAUUAUUCUUGGCAAAGAACACAGCAGAAUUGUUAUCACAAAACAUCCUUACUGGUUUCUGAAUCGAUUUUACAAUUUUUAAAUCAGUCAGAAAAUUCUUCAACCACACAGCUUGUUUCAUCCCUUCAAAACAAGCUACGAACUCAGCCUCCAUAGUGGAUGUGGCUAUCACGGUUUGCUUAGCACUCUUCCAAGAAACUGCACCACCAUUUAACAUGAAGAUAUAGCCACCGGUCGAUUUUCUAUCAUCUAUAUCACCAGCCAAAUCAGAGUCAGUAUAUCCUUCAAGUUCCAAAGAUUCGCCAUUUCCAUAAACCAACAUGAAAUUCUUGGUUCUUUGUAAAUAUCUUAGAACCUUUUUGGCAGAUAUCCAAUGUGCUUCACCUGGAUUUGAUUGAAACCUUCCCAACAUUCCAGUUAUAAAAGCAAGGUCAGGCCGUGUACAUAUAGUUGCAUACAUGAGACUUCCCACCAGAGAAGCAUAAGGCUUACCCUGCAUUUUCUCUGUCUCCAAGUCAGUCCUCGGACACUGACUCUUGGAGAACUUAUCCCCUUUAUUAACUGGAACUUGUCCACAACUACAAUUCUCCAUAUUGAACCGGUGUAAUACUCUAUCAAUGUAACCCUUUUACGAUAAGCCAAGUAGUCGUUUCUGUCUAUUGCGUACAAUCUCAAUCCCCAACACAUAGUGUGCCUCUCCUAGAUCCUUCAUGUCAAAACUUUCACUGAGCAUCCUUUUAGUUCUUUGUAAUAACUGUGGACAAGAACUUGCUAGAAGAAUGUCGUCAACGUAAAGUACCAAAAAGUCCUAGUAGGAUGUCAUGUAGCUGAUCCAUUUCUUCAAAAAUGAAAUUUUCCCGCGACAGAUCUGUAACAUCUUGAUCCUCUAAGAAUACUGCAUUAUGUGUUUCUUGGAUCCGAGUGUGAUGUUGAGGAAUAUAGAAUCUGUAGCCCUUUGACUUUUCAGGAUACCCAAUGAAGUAACAAGAUUGAGUCCUUGAAUCUAAUUUUCUUUCAUUAGGAUUAUAGAACCUUGCUUCUGAUUUGCAACCCCAAACGUGAAAGUAUUCAAAAUUAGGUGUUCUGCCAUGCCAUAACUCAAAAGGUGUUGAGAUAACAGAUUUGCUCGGUACUCUGUUCAAAAUAUGAUUUGCUGUCUUCAAGGCUUCUCCCCACAAGAAACCAGGCAAUUUGGAUCUUGACAUCAUACUUCUCACCAUACCUAUAAGAGUUCGAUUCCUUCGUUCCGAGACUCCAUUUUGUUGAGGUGUCCCCGGUGUUGUAUACUGAGCUACAAUGCCGUUUUGCUCUAAAUAUAGUGCAAAUGGUCCCUUUUGCUGUCCUGAUUCAGUGUACCUGCCAAAGUAUUCUCCUCCCCUAUCCGAUCUAACAAUUUUAAUAACUUUACCUAACUGUUUUUCAACCUCAGUUUUGUAAACAAUAAAGCAUUUAAGGGCAUCAGAUUUUUCUUUAAUCAGAAAAGUAUAUCCCAGUCUAGAGAAGUCAUCAAUAAAGUUAACAAAAUACUUGUUUCCACAUAUUGUUUUGACUGGAAAAGGACCACAGAUGUCAGUGUGUAUGAUUUCAAGUAACCCUUUGCUUCUUUUGGCAUCUAGUUUUCUAAAGUUGGUCAUUUUUCCUUUCAAACAAUCAACACAUUCUGUCACAGUGGCAGAAUCUAGUUUGGGAAUUAGUUCGGCUUUGCAAAGUUGAAGAAUCCUUUCUUUAGAGAUGUGCCCUAACCUCUUAUGCCAAAGAAUAUAAGAUGAAUCAUGUUCUAACAUUCUUUUUGAAUUGACAUUAAAAACGGACUGAUCAACAAACUCAACUAUACACUCUAGUCUCCAGAGAUUUUCAGACAAGAGGGCAAUGCCCAAAAUUUUAUGAAAACUGUUUUUCUUAAAAAUUUUCAAACAUACAUCAUCAGCAAAGAAUGCAUAACCAUCUUUUAUUAUUUUAGAAGCAGAGAGCAAGUUUCUUCUCAUUUUAGGCACAUAGAGCACAUCUUUUAGUUGUAACACAAAACCAGAAUUUAGUUUUAAGUUUACUACUCCAAUGGAAUGCACUGCAACCUUAGUCCCUUCCCCCACAUAGACAUGAUACAUAGUAUUUCCAAUCUCCUUUUGUUUUUGAAAACCUUUCAAAGAAUUAGUUAUGUGAACCGAGCAUCCAGUGUCAAACCACCAAGAAUCAACAGGUACUUCACAAAGAUUUGACUCAACACAGACAAGUACUUGUUCCUUUUCUUUGCUCUUCACAAAAUCUUUAAAAAUUUCACAAUCAACUUUUAAAUGCCCUUUAGUCUUGCACCAAAAACACUUAAGUUUAGACACAUCUUUAGGUUUAGCUUUAAAUUUGAUAGAUUUUCUAGGGGAGUCAUUUACUUUAGCAGCUAUAUUGAAUUUGUUAGAAUUCUUAGUGAAUUUAGAAUUCUUACCAGGACCUGAAGAGCUGCCUUUAUUGAAUGCUCUCUUCUCUCGUCCAGGUUGUACAUAAUUUGCUUCUUCGAUCUCCUUGCCUUUCUCUUGCUUUUGCCGAGUUUCCUCUUGCACACAUUGUGCAAUCAAUUCAUCUAUGCCCCAGUUCUUGUCCUGAGUGUUGUAAGAGACUUUUAACUGACUAUACUUGGUAGGGAGGGCUUGAAAAAUCAUGAACACAAGCUGCUUCUCUCCAAUGUUUAUUUCCAUGGAGUUUAGCUUCUCGGCAGCAUCUGACAUUUUCAUUAUAUGAUCCCUUAUUGAACCAGUAUCUUCAAUCUUGUAUUGAGUCAACACAGACAUAUACUGGCUUACUUCUGCCUUCUCGGACUCCUUGAAUUUCUUUUCGAUUGCAGCCAAAUAAUCCACAGCAAGCUCUGGUUUCUUAAUUCCUCCCCUGAUAGUGUCAGUCAUUCCAGCUUCUAUGAUGGAAAGUGCUACCUUAUUAGCUCUUGACCACCUCUCAAAAUCUGACUUCUCAGCUCUGGUGCUUUGAUCACUAAUUACAGGCUUGGGAUUUUCAAUUGCUAUAUCAAACUCAUUUAGAGUCAAUAGCAAGUUGAUAUCCCUCCUCCACUUCUUGUAAUUGCUACCACCAGUAAGGAUCGGAAUAUUUGCUAAAUUUAAGGUCUUCAUUGAUAUUGCAGACAUCGAUGAACCUGAAAUCACCAUAUGAACAUUCAAAGUUCUGAUUUCGUUUCACAGUCUAUUGCACAUCAAAGCUUUAUAACCAAUAUCCAUAUAUACAAUCUUAACAACAACCAGUUGAUAGGCGCAUAUAGGAUUAUUGAUUUCAGAAUAGUUCAUGAACUGAUCACGGUAUAUCAGAAUCAACCAUCACACUGAUUUGUUCUAUACAUCUCAGUUUAUGAUCUUAAUAGUGACAAUAAAUUUGCAUAAAUUUAACCAGAUACAAUCAUUUUAAGAAACUAAAUCAUAUGCUAAGAAUGACUGCUCUCAUGUUCAUAAAAAAUCAUUAUACAAAUCUCUAUGCAAGAUUCAUGAUAUUCAUUUUUCUAAUCUGAGUUUUGAAGAUCACAUACCUUUUAAAGAGACAACCAUCAAUACCUAGCAGCGGAAACAAUUUUGGACAGGUAUUGAACACUCAAUAACAAGAUUUGGAUUACUCGGAUUGCAAGUGAACGGGUCAAAAUAAGAGGGACGAGUUAAAGUCCUCUUUUGCAGAAGAACAAAACCCAGAAAAACCCCAAAAGAAAAACCGCGCCGAUUUCGAAUAUCAACAGUCAUAUUAAUCUGACCUGAUUUUAUCAAAAACGCACCGUUUAGGAAAAAUUGUUUUGAUAUUUAGAACCGGUUUCGAAACCCGAUAAUGGCGAUUUUCAUUGACCCGUGUUUGAUUGAUUUUAAGAACUUAAAUCUAAGCUCUGAUACCACAUGUUAGAUGCAAUUAGCCAAGAUCAAGAUUUAAGCUACAUAAAACACAAUCAAGAAAGCAUAAAAUCUUUUGAAUAUGAACUGAUGUAUUCACACUAACCUGAUGAACCUCCAUUCGAAUAUGCCAUUGCAGCAGCUGUCCAAUUCUGUAUGCUGCAACUCUUCUCCUCUCUGGUAGAACUCUUAAUGCUCUAACUAAGAAUAGGACUUAGUUCUUUUCUGAGCGUGUCUAUGAGAGCAGAGAUCACAGCAUAUAUAUAAAUACAUAUACUUCUCCUAAACCAAUGAGGAUUUCCUAUUACAAUCCGAUUAGGAAACAACUCAUGUUUCCCAGUGUAUGUUGGUUCUUCUCCAUGACAGAUUCCUCUAUCAACAAGAACUCACAUUCAUCUUCCUAUAAGGCUUUCUUAUACUAAUUGGACCAAACAACUGACACUUGUUCACCGUAUACUCAUGUUCAUAUCUUUACAUUUCUGGCUUGGCGGAGGCACGGAUUCUCCUAUUUUCAACUCCCCACUUUGUUGUUGCUGCUGCUGUUGCUGUUGCUGAUGAUGCUGCUGCAUCUGUUGCUGCUGGAGUUGAUGGAGCUGAUGCUGCUGAAACUGGUGCUGCUGCUUCUGAGAAUGAAUCUGGAGCUGUUGAAACUGCUGUGCAGUUAGAAGAGUGUGCAUUGCUUGAUUGUUUGGAUAGAACUGCUGCUGACCCGCCGCGCCAAAAGAAGCGUAGUUCAUCAUAGGUCCACCAUUUGGCAUAGCUUGGCCAGUCAUAACUUUCAGAUGCUGAAUUUCUUCUUUCAGUGCAUUGUUCAAUGCUACGAGACAAACAAAAACAAUAAUGUUUCGGCACAAUUUCAUUCACAUAAGGAUCAAGAACCAGAAGUUACACGGAAUCCGAUCAGCAAGAAAACCUAAAUUAUAGUAUUGUACUGAUACUACACAAACAAGAUGCUACAGUCUAAUUUGAGCAAAACUUCUACAUCGGAUGCUAACCAAUACAAUCCAAUCUUGGGCGCAAAAAACGAUUAUGCGUUUCUUUGACAAAGUCCAUUUGACGUCAGGUGAAAUCAUGAUGCUAUAUUGUGUGGGGGUUUUGAUCACUCUCGAUUGCAUCGUAAUUGAGUGGAAGGCAAUAUCGUUUCGGGAUUAUAAGGAAUAUAUGCUGCACGGAGUUGACGUGACCAGCAAACAAUUUAGUGAGUGGUGCUAAAUCAUCAAGAAUAAAAGUUGACAGACGAAGUACGGUUUGGCAUUGAGGUGCUUAAAAAACAAAAGGAAAAAUAAUGAAAAUGUCUUGAAAACUUUGAGUUUUAACGAUAAGGACAAAAUAAAGGGUAAAGUGAAUAAUACUAGGUUUGACUUUUUAGUGUAAAAAUGUGGUUUUUCGUUAAAGUGAACAGUACUGCAGGCUUUUCGUUAAAACUCCCUAAAAAAAAGCUGCUUAUUUUCAAAGUUUUUAUGUUGAAGGUGUUUGGUAAACUAAAUAAAAAGGGAUUAUUUUUGGACAAUGCUAUGAGAAUAAGCUGAAAUCAUCAGAAAAGCUGAAGCAGCUAAAUGCUGCUUUGGAAAACUGGCUUUUUUUUCAAAGCACGCAGAGCUACGGUGCUCCUUUAAUGAAACUUUCUAAAGUCCAAUAACACCCUCAAACCAGAAAUGGUGCUCCUUUGCCGGUCUCCACAAAACCUAGAAACCCACUAGAAACGACUUUGCCGAUCUGCACAAGAAAUGGAAACACAAAAACCCAAAAACCCACCAGACUACCACAGCCAAAACCAGAAACGGUUUUCCUUUGCCGAUCCGCGCGCUAAACUAGCCUUAACUUUCUAAGACAUUGGAUACAAACAUCAAAACCCAAAAGCCAAAAAUUGAAUAAAUAUCAGCUUUAAGAUUUCACCGCCAUCAAUUCUAUAAUUUGAUUAAACACAAUUCCAGAAAAAUAAACAAUUUGAGCCACUACAAGCCUGAAACUUUAUCGAUUUUGGAAAAGUCGAAAAGAAAUCAUGGGCAAUUUGGGUUAAAAGCUAAAUACCUCUGGUUCUCCGAAGGUCCGGACUGAAACUAUGGCCACUGGGCGCCGGCGAAGAGAGACGGAGAAAGGGAGGGACUACAGAGAGGAGUGUUUUCUGUUGUCGAGGAUUACAGACAGGAAUUAGGAAGGAAGGUGAGUGGGAGGAAGAAGGGUUUAGAGUUAAAAUGGAUUUUGAUGCCACUUAACAAAUGAAGAUAGAUAAAAGAAAAAUAGGAGACUUGUAGAGAGACUAUUAAUAAAUAAAAGACAUGGAUUAUUAAUAAAUGAAGAUGGAUAAAAGAAAGAUAGAGUUGGUUUAUUAUUUUACAUUUAACAUUAUACUCAUUUUAUAUAUUUUUUUGUCAUUUCACACAAUCACAGCUCUUUUAUAUAAAAGUUUACCAAACACUAUCAUAUUGCUUGUUUUCUUUUCCAAAAGAACUUUUACAAAAAAAAUUUAUCAAACAUUCUGCUGUUUUAUUUCACAGCAGCUUAUUCUCAUAGCACAGCAGAAGUAGCUUAUUCUCAUAGCACAGCAGAAACAGUUUUUUCUCAUAGCAAAGCAGAAGAACCUUUUUUCAAAGCAGAGUAAUACCAAACCAGCCCUGAGACUAAUCCCAAAAACACAUUUAAUUUUCAGAUAACAAAUCUUCAUAAUCUAAAUCCACCAUAAUUACCAGGAACAAAACGCAAAUCACAAGGUGCUACAACCAUACGGUACUCGACCGAAAAUUAACCCCAUCAUUCGAUCUACAACUAAAACGAUAUUUACAGAACAGGCUACAAACAAAGGUGUCAUCUAGGUGUAUCUAACCAGACUAAAAAACAGAAGGGGGAGGAGGAGGAGGAGGAGAAGGGGGAGGAAGGGAAGGGAGGGUAAGUACCCUAACUGGAGGCGGCUGUGCAACUACAAUUUUUGAACAAAGCCUCAUCCGUCAUUAAUUUUUGGCAGACCCGAUAACAUUUCAAUCCUUCGUUACAGAUUGGUUGACCUCUGAUGUAUUAUCUUUCUGGCUUGGCGAAGGCACGGAUCCUCCUAUUUUCAACUCCCCACUUUGUUGUUGCUGCUGCUGUUGCU